GGAGGUGUGGCUCAGUGGUAGAGUGUGUGCUUAGCAUGCACGAAGUCCUAGGUUCAAUCCCCAGUAUCUCUG
Molecule: transfer RNA, 72 nt
Filed under: Camelus dromedarius (Arabian camel)
Lineage: Eukaryota; Metazoa; Chordata; Mammalia; Artiodactyla; Camelidae
Also listed under: 1 other name
Rfam family: tRNA
About the family: Transfer RNA (tRNA) molecules are approximately 80 nucleotides in length. Their secondary structure includes four short double-helical elements and three loops (D, anti-codon, and T loops).
Source: Rfam by way of RNAcentral